Molecule: long non-coding RNA, 1024 nt
Organism: Oncorhynchus tshawytscha (Chinook salmon)
Lineage: Eukaryota; Metazoa; Chordata; Actinopteri; Salmoniformes; Salmonidae
Source: Ensembl
UGUAAUGUAACUUCACUUGUAGACAUUGAUGUACUUUCUUGUGAAUUUUGGGGGAACUUGUGAGGUGAAUUCAUAUUUUAAAACGGCAUCCCAUUUCCUCUAGACCACUAUAGGGACUAGGGGGCCGUUUUGGGUUGCUUCCUGUGGUUCGGCAGAGAUGGUAUGGUUGCUGUGGUUACAGAGCGCUCUUCAGCAGACUGACUGUUGAGUUCGAUGGUUCAAAUUUAAAUGAACCUUUAUUGAAAUAGGCAAGUCAGGAAAGAACAAAAUGUUAUUUACAAUGACUGCCUACCCCCCUCCCCUAACCCGGACGAUGCUGGGCCAAACCCUAUGGGACUCCCGAUCAUGGCCGGUUGUGUGACAGCCUGGAAACGAACCAGAGUCUGUAGUGACGCCUCUAGCACUGCAAUACAGUGCCUUUGACCGCUGCGCCACUCGGGAGUUUAACAGUGGUCAUACAUACUGUAAGACACUGCUAGAUAAAAGCUAUAGCUUGGAUACAGUAUAUAGCUGUAUAGUUACUCUGUGGCAGUGUUGCUUCACAUCCAAAUCAUCUGAUAUCAGUGAAAGGCUGCCAAUGGCGCAAGGGUAGGGUUGUGGGGUUGGAAAUGGAACCAGGCCACCUGUUAUAGUGGGGUCGUCCUCAGCUGUCUGUCAUCCACCACCCUCUUCAUGCAAACAUCCGUCUCCGAUUCCUUUAACUGUGUAGGAGUCCCAAAUAGCACCCUAUCCCCUAUCUAGUGCACUACUUUUGACCAGGAUCCAUAGGGCUGGUCAAAAGAAGUGCAUCAGAUAGGUGCCAUUUGGAAUGCUGACUGUGACUUGUAAAUCAGGGUUGGGGGCUCAGUUCCAUUUCAAUUCGGGAGAUUAACUGAAAUUCCAAUUUGCGUUAAAGUGGAAUGUGAGUCGACUUCCUAAAAUGGCAUUGACCCCAGUCCUGCUUGUUAUUGACAUCUGUGUUUGUGCCUUCCUUCAGUACAGAACAAAUGCCCCAGAAACAUCCAAUAAAUUGCUUAGUCAUCCA